RNAcentral lists this ribosomal RNA (609 nucleotides) under uncultured Dehalococcoides sp. RNAcentral describes it as "bacterial SSU rRNA". It matches the Rfam family "Bacterial small subunit ribosomal RNA", at positions 696 to 1320 of the family's 1533-position model. Lineage: Bacteria; Bacillati; Chloroflexota; Dehalococcoidia; Dehalococcoidales; Dehalococcoidaceae. The record is from RNAcentral.
AUCUGGAGGAACACCAGAGGCGAAGGCGGUUUUCUAGGUUGUCACUGACACUGAGGCUCGAAAGCGUGGGGAGCGAACAGAAUUAGAUACUCUGGUAGUCCACGCCUUAAACUAUGGACACUAGGUAUAGGGAGUAUCGACCCUCUCUGUGCCGAAGCUAACGCUUUAAGUGUCCCGCCUGGGGAGUACGGUCGCAAGGCUAAAACUCAAAGGAAUUGACGGGGGCCCGCACAAGCAGCGGAGCGUGUGGUUUAAUUCGAUGCUACACGAAGAACCUUACCAAGAUUUGACAUGCAUGAAGUAGUGAACCGAAAGGGAAACGACCUGUUAAGUCAGGAGUUUGCACAGGUGCUGCAUGGCUGUCGUCAGCUCGUGCCGNGAGGUGUUUGGUUAAGUCCUGCAACGAGCGCAACCCUUGUUGCUAGUUAAAUUUUCUAGCGAGACUGCCCCGCGAAACGGGGAGGAAGGUGGGGAUGACGUCAAGUCAUCAUGGCCUUUAUAUCUUGGCUCACACACGCUACAAUGGACAGAGCAAUAGGUUGCAACANUGUGAACUGGACUUAUNCCAAAGCUGCCUUAGUUCCNGAUUGCAGGCUUGAACCCGCUGCU